Molecule: ribosomal RNA, 458 nt
Filed under: uncultured bacterium
Lineage: Bacteria
Description: bacterial SSU rRNA
Rfam family: Bacterial small subunit ribosomal RNA
Source: RNAcentral
AACGAACGCUGGCGGCAGGCCUAACACAUGCAAGUCGAGCGAACCCUUCGGGGUUAGCGGCGGACGGGUUAGUAACGCGUGGGAAUAUACCCUUUGGUACGGAAUAGCCUCGGGAAACUGAGAGUAAUACCGUAUGUGCCCUUCGGGGGAAAGAUUUAUCGCCAAAGGAUUAGCCCGCGUUGGAUUAGAUAGUUGGUGGGGUAAUGGCCUACCAAGUCUACGAUCCAUAGCUGGUUUGAGAGGAUGAUCAGCAACACUGGGACUGAGACACGGCCCAGACUCCUACGGGAGGCAGCAGUGGGGAAUCUUAGACAAUGGGCGCAAGCCUGAUCUAGCCAUGCCGCGUGGACGAUGAAGGCCUUAGGGUUGUAAAGUCCUUUCAGAUGGGAAGAUAAUGACGGUACCAUCAGAAGAAGCCCCGGCUAACUCCGUGCCAGCAGCCGCGGUAAAGUCAGUGA